Non-coding RNA from Castor canadensis (American beaver), 859 nucleotides. The record is from RefSeq and is a predicted model, not a curated record. Lineage: Eukaryota; Metazoa; Chordata; Mammalia; Rodentia; Castoridae.
UCUCAAUGUUGCUAUAAGGCUUUUCUUGCCACCUCUAGGAAAGGUUUUCCACAAGGUGGGACACUUAUGGACUCAAUAUCCCAUCGGCUAGUUACCUCAGCAAUAUAUACCUGACUAUUCUUGGACUUCUCAGUUACAUAAAAAAUAAAUUCCUUCUUAUUCUCUUAAACCAAUUUGAAUUUGGUUUCUGUCACUUACAAGAGCCCUGACUAAAACUGAGCUUCUUUAAAAGAGCUCUUCACCAGUAAGGAUAAUGGUAAAUGAUCAGAUUUCUCUUCAUAACUUUGAAUAUAGGAGUAGUACGCAGUAUGAGCAAAAGCUGAAAGAGCAUGCAGAGAAUACGGUAAUUUAGGCUGUGAUGAAAAGGAACUCACUGUUUUCUGAUUCGCCAUCUGCAGUGGAACCGCUGCCCAGAUGCAGAUUUUUGUAAAAACCCUUAUGGGGAAGACUGUCAUGCUCAAGGGUGAACCUUUAGAUACUAUAUGUCAAGGCCAAGAUCCAGGAUAAGGAAGGAAUGCCUCCUGAUCAGCAAAAGACUGAUCUUUACUGGUAAGCAAUUGGAAGAUGGACGUAUUUUGUCAGACUACAACAUUCAAAAGGAGUCUACCCUUCAUCUUAAGUUGAGACUUUGUGGUGGUGCUAGGAAAAGGAAGUCUUAUACCAUUCCCAGGAAGAAUAAGCAUAGGAGAAAGGUUAAGUUGGCUGUCCUGAAAUAUUAUAAGGUCGAUGAAAAGGGCAAAAUUAGUUGCCUUCAUCAUGAGUGUCCUUCAGAAGAAUGUGGUGCUGGAGUUUUUAUGGCUAGCCAUUUUGACAGACAUUACUGUUGUCUAAUUGCUUCAAUAAACCAGAAGACAAGUAA